Molecule: long non-coding RNA, 1045 nt
Filed under: Erythranthe guttata (spotted monkey flower)
Lineage: Eukaryota; Viridiplantae; Streptophyta; Magnoliopsida; Lamiales; Phrymaceae
Description: long non-coding RNA (EGUT_LNC001208)
Source: RNAcentral
UUCCACCCGAACCCAUCUUUGCCAUUCUCUCUGCACAUUUUCAAUUACGUAGCAGCGGCGGUAUAGCCCUUGAGUUUUCUCUCUUGAAGAAGAAGAAAAAAAUCCCUAUUGAAGGUAGUUUCGCUCUUUUUUCCUCUCUCUACGAUGACCCAAUUCUUACAAGCCAUUGUAUAUGUAGUCCAGGGAGUUCUCCGUCGGAAGAGGAAGAGCUCCACUGUAAAGGUAGUUUUGUUUCUUUUUAUUUUCUUAUAAUCAUACAUUAUCAAAACGAUUUUUCCCUAAUCGUAAAAGUUCAUGCCCUAACCCCUGAUUUAUGAAUCUAAAAGCAAAGCCCUAAUCCCCGAUUUAUGAUUCUAAAAUUCAAGCCCUAACCCCUGAUUUGUUAUUCUAAAAUUCAAUAUGUAUUUGUAUGAUAUAAAUAAUUCCUGUACGAUUCCACACUUUCCAGUCUUUAUCGAUCAUGUCCUUUUAAUUUUUCAAUGCAGACCCUUGUAAGAAACUGUGAAAAUAAUGUUUAUAAUGUGAUCUCAGUAGGUUCUUCUAGUAGUAGGCCUUCAUAUGGAUAUAAGUUGGGCAUUUGAAGUUCAUGUUAAGUGUCAAAAUAGGUUUUGGACAGAGGGAUUUUAGACUUCUAUUGUUUCAGUAAUGUAUAUGCCUAGCAAGAGCAAAGUUUUAAGGAUUUUCAUUUCAACAAGAAACAUGGCAAGAUGUUAGAGUUUAUUAUAGGAUUAUGUUUAUCCCUUAUCUUGUUUAGUUUUAGCAUAAGGUAUCGAAUUGAGAUUCUUGGCACCCAGUGGAGGCAAGAAUUAGUUUCCCAAUGAUUAUAUUCCAACAAUUGGUAGGCUCUUGAAGUACAUAUGAUUGGACCUUUUUAUUGGUAUUUUUUUUUUCUUAUCUUCUGCAACUUGUUUAUUUUUUGCAGGAGGUAUUGAAUUGAGAUUCUUGAUGCUAGGUAACAAAAAAAGAGAUGAAUAAUUUUCUCUUAUUAUUAUAUUCAAAUAUUUGGAAAGGCACUUGGAGUACAUAUCAAUUGACCUCUUUCAUU